RNAcentral lists this ribosomal RNA (330 nucleotides) under uncultured eukaryote. RNAcentral describes it as "partial 18S ribosomal RNA". It matches the Rfam family "Eukaryotic small subunit ribosomal RNA", at positions 1470 to 1796 of the family's 1831-position model. The record is from RNAcentral.
CCCUUAGAUGUUCUGGGCCGCACGCGCGCUACACUGAUCGAGCCAGCGAGCCUGUCCCUCGCCGGUAGGUGCGGGUAAUCUUGUGAAACUCGAUCGUGCUGGGGAUAGACCCUUGCAAUUAUUGGUCUUCAACGAGGAAUUCCUAGUAAGCGCAAGUCAUCAGCUUGCGUUGAUUACGUCCCUGCCCUUUGUACACACCGCCCGUCGCUACUACCGAUUGAAUGGUUUAGUGAGAUCUUCGGAUUGGAGUCCUAGGUGACGGCGACGCCACCUUGGACACCCGAAAAGUUGAGCUAACUGAAUUAUUUAGAGGAAGUAAAAGUCGUAACA